RNAcentral lists this microRNA precursor (78 nucleotides) under Lytechinus variegatus (green sea urchin). RNAcentral describes it as "microRNA lva-mir-981 precursor". Its record names the gene lva-mir-981. The stretch from base 8 to 70 matches the Rfam family "mir-981 microRNA precursor family", at positions 13 to 75 of the family's 86-position model. The record is from miRBase by way of RNAcentral. Lineage: Eukaryota; Metazoa; Echinodermata; Echinoidea; Temnopleuroida; Toxopneustidae.
UUAUCCACGGGUUUCGCUGAUACCGCACAGUCCUUUUUCAAUGUAUCUGUUCGUUGUCAACGAAACCUGCGGUUAUUG